This 151-nucleotide non-coding RNA is filed under the name uncultured Ochromonas. The record is from RNAcentral. Lineage: Eukaryota; Chrysophyceae; Chromulinales; Chromulinaceae.
UUGUCCCGUUAGAAGAGAUUUAAUGUUUCAUUAUGCUAAUUUAUAUAUUAAAUAUCAUGAAGUUAUCAAAGAGAAGAAAUCACCAACUCCUCUGAAUGCACCUGCUGUAGGAGAGGAGGUUACACGUACCAAUGAUAGAGCACGUGCUCAA